GAUCAUGGGCUCAGGACGAACGCUGGCGGCGCGCCUAACACAUGCAAGUCGAACGAGCGAGAGAGAGCUUGCUUUCUCAAGCGAGUGGCGAACGGGUGAGUAACGCGUGAGGAACCUGCCUCAAAGAGGGGGACAACAGUUGGAAACGACUGCUAAUACCGCAUAAGCCCACAGCUCGGCAUCGAGCAGAGGGAAAAGGAGCAAUCCGCUUUGAGAUGGCCUCGCGUCCGA
RNAcentral lists this ribosomal RNA (231 nucleotides) under uncultured bacterium. Its description in RNAcentral is "partial 16S ribosomal RNA". It matches the Rfam family "Bacterial small subunit ribosomal RNA", at positions 15 to 240 of the family's 1533-position model. The record is from RNAcentral.